UAAGCGUGUAGGUAUGUGUUCCAGGUAAAUCCGGUUCACUUUAACACUGAGGCGUGACGACGAGGCACUACGGUGCUGAAGCAACAAAUGCCCUGCUUCCAGGAAAAGCCUCUAAGCAUCAGGUAACAUCAAAUCGUACCCCAAACCGACACAGGUGGUCAGGUAGAGAAUACCAAGGCGCUUGAGAGAACUCGGGUGAAGGAACUAGGCAAAAUGGUGCCGUAACUUCGGGAGAAGGCACGCUGACACGUAGGUGAAGUGAUUUACUCACGGAGCUGAAGUCAGCCGAAGAUACCAGCUGGCUGCAACUGUUUAUUAAAAACACAGCACUGUGCAAACACGAAAGUGGACGUAUACGGUGUGACGCCUGCCCGGUGCCGGAAGGUUAAUUGAUGGGGUCAGCGCAAGCGAAGCUCCUGAUCGAAGCCCCGGUAAACGGCGGCCGUAACUAUAACGGUCCUAAGGUAGCGAAAUUCCUUGUCGGGUAAGUUCCGACCUGCACGAAUGGCGUAAUGAUGGCCAGGCUGUCUCCACCCGAGACUCAGUGAAAUUGAACUCGCUGUGAAGAUGCAGUGUACCCGCGGCAAGACGGAAAGACCCCGUGAACCUUUACUAUAGCUUGACACUGAACAUUGAGCCUUGAUGUGUAGGAUAGGUGGGAGGCUUUGAAGUGUGGACGCCAGUCUGCAUGGAGCCGACCUUGAAAUACCACCCUUUAAUGUUUGAUGUUCUAACGUGGACCCGUGAUCCGGGUUGCGGACAGUGUCUGGUGGGUAGUUUGACUGGGGCGGUCUCCUCCUAAAGAGUAACGGAGGAGCACGAAGGUUGGCUAAUCCUGGUCGGACAUCAGGAGGUUAGUGCAAUGGCAUAAGCCAGCUUGACUGCGAGCGUGACGGCGCGAGCAGGUGCGAAAGCAGGUCAUAGUGAUCCGGUGGUUCUGAAUGGAAGGGCCAUCGCUCAACGGAUAAAAGGUACUCCGGGGAUAACAGGCUGAUACCGCCCAAGAGUUCAUAUCGACGGCGGUGUUUGGCACCUCGAUGUCGGCUCAUCACAUCCUGGGGCUGAAGUAGGUCCCAAGGGUAUGGCUGUUCGCCAUUUAAAGUGGUACGCGAGCUGGGUUUAGAACGUCGUGAGACAGUUCGGUCCCUAUCUGCCGUGGGCGCUGGAGAACUGAGGGGGGCUGCUCCUAGUACGAGAGGACCGGAGUGGACGCAUCACUGGUGUUCGGGUUGUCAUGCCAAUGGCACUGCCCGGUAGCUAAAUGCGGAAGAGAUAAGUGCUGAAAGCAUCUAAGCACGAAACUUGCCCCGAGAUGAGUUCUCCCUGAGACUUUAGGUCUCCUGAAGGAACGUUGAAGACGACGACGUUGAUAGGCCGGGUGUGUAAGCGCAGCGAUGCGUUGAGCUAACCGGUACUAAUGAACCGUGAGGCUUAACCUU
RNAcentral lists this ribosomal RNA (1439 nucleotides) under Salmonella enterica subsp. enterica serovar Typhi. RNAcentral describes it as "partial 23S ribosomal RNA". It matches the Rfam family "Bacterial large subunit ribosomal RNA", at positions 1513 to 2925 of the family's 2925-position model. Lineage: Bacteria; Pseudomonadati; Pseudomonadota; Gammaproteobacteria; Enterobacterales; Enterobacteriaceae. The record is from RNAcentral.